This 497-nucleotide ribosomal RNA is filed under the name uncultured bacterium. Its description in RNAcentral is "partial 16S ribosomal RNA". It matches the Rfam family "Bacterial small subunit ribosomal RNA", at positions 28 to 507 of the family's 1533-position model. The record is from RNAcentral.
GAUGAACGCUGGCGGCGUGCCUAAUACAUGCAAGUCGAGCGAACAGACGAGGAGCUUGCUCCUCUGACGUUAGCGGCGGACGGGUGAGUAACACGUGGAUAACCUACCUAUAAGACUGGGAUAACUUCGGGAAACCGGAGCUAAUACCGGAUAAUAUAUUGAACCGCAUGGUUCAAUAGUGAAAGACGGUUUUGCUGUCACUUAUAGAUGGAUCCGCGCCGCAUUAGCUAGUUGGUAAGGUAACGGCUCACCAAGGCAACGAUGCGUAGCCGACCUGAGAGGGUGAUCGGCCACACUGGAACCGAGACACGGUCCAGACUCCUACGGGAGGCAGCAGUAGGGAAUCUUCCGCAAUGGGCGAAAGCCUGACGGAGCAACGCCGCGUGAGUGAUGAAGGUCUUCGGAUCGUAAAACUCUGUUAUUAGGGAAGAACAAAUGUGUAAGUAACUAUGCACGUCUUGACGGUACCUAAUCAGAAAGCCACGGCUAACUACGUG